ACCCCGUGGGAACAUACCUUUCGGUAAGGAAUAGCCACUGGGAAAACGGUGAGUAAUACCUUAUACGCCCUUCGGGGGAAAGAUUUAUCGCCGAGAGAUUGGCCCGCGUUAGAUUAGAUAGUUGGUGGGGUAACGGCCUACCAAGUCUACGAUCUAUAGCUGGUUUUAGAGGAUGAUCAGCAACACUGGGACUGAGACACGGCCCAGACUCCUACGGGAGGCAGCAGUGGGGAAUAUUGCACAAUGGGCGAAAGCCUGAUGCAGCCAUGCCGCGUGUGUGAAAGAAGGCCCUUCGGGUUG
Molecule: ribosomal RNA, 300 nt
Filed under: uncultured Paracoccaceae bacterium
Lineage: Bacteria; Pseudomonadati; Pseudomonadota; Alphaproteobacteria; Rhodobacterales; Paracoccaceae
Description: bacterial SSU rRNA
Rfam family: Bacterial small subunit ribosomal RNA
Source: RNAcentral